ACGCUCGACACCUACGGGAGCAGCAGUGGGGAAUAUUGCACAAUGGGGGAAACCCUGAUGCAGCGACGCCGCGUGAGUGAAGAAGUAUUUCGGUAUGUAAAGCUCUAUCAGCAGGGAAGAAAAUGACGGUACCUGAGUAAGAAGCCCCGGCUAACUACGCGCCAGCAGCCGCGGUAAUCUGAGCGGGCUGGCAAGGC
This 197-nucleotide ribosomal RNA is filed under the name uncultured bacterium. RNAcentral describes it as "partial 16S ribosomal RNA". It matches the Rfam family "Bacterial small subunit ribosomal RNA", at positions 328 to 539 of the family's 1533-position model. The record is from RNAcentral.